RNAcentral lists this transfer RNA (84 nucleotides) under Xylaria castorea. RNAcentral's name for it is "tRNA-Asn". It matches the Rfam family "tRNA". From Rfam's summary of the family: Transfer RNA (tRNA) molecules are approximately 80 nucleotides in length. Lineage: Eukaryota; Fungi; Ascomycota; Sordariomycetes; Xylariales; Xylariaceae. The record is from RNAcentral.
UCCUCCGUAGCGCAAUUAGCUAGCGCGUUCGACUGUUAAUAACAGAUUAUCGAGAGGUUGACAGUUCAAGCCUGUCCGGGGGAG